This 489-nucleotide ribosomal RNA is filed under the name uncultured bacterium. RNAcentral describes it as "partial 16S ribosomal RNA". It matches the Rfam family "Bacterial small subunit ribosomal RNA", at positions 28 to 507 of the family's 1533-position model. The record is from RNAcentral.
GACGAACGCUGGCGGCGUGCUUAACACAUGCAAGUCGAACGGAAAGGCCCCCAUCUUGGUGGGGGUGCUCGAGUGGCGAACGGGUGAGUAACACGUGGGUGAUCUGCCCUGUACUUCGGGAUAAGCUUGGGAAACUGGGUCUAAUACCGGAUAGGACCAUGGUUUAGUGUCUCAUGGUGGAAAGAUUAUUGUUUUGGUGCAGGAUGAGCUCGCGGCCUAUCAGCUUGUUGGUGGGGUAAUGGCCUACCAAGGCGUCGACGGGUAGCCGGCCUGAGAGGGUGGACGGCCACAUUGGGACUGAGAUACGGCCCAGACUCCUACGGGAGGCAGCAGUGGGGAAUAUUGCACAAUGGGCGCAAGCCUGAUGCAGCGACGCCGCGUGGGGGAUGACGGCCUUCGGGUGGGAAACUCCUUUCGUUAGGGACGAAGCCGCACUUUUUUUGGGUGUGGUGACGGUACCUUUGUGAAGAAGCACCGGCUAACUACGUG